Molecule: long non-coding RNA, 406 nt
Organism: Mytilus californianus (California mussel)
Lineage: Eukaryota; Metazoa; Mollusca; Bivalvia; Mytilida; Mytilidae
Exons: 3
Source: RefSeq, a predicted model, not a curated record
UUCAGAAAAACAAACAGAUGGACGCACAUGUGAUUUUUGCAUUGGAAAAUACAGGACAAAAGAUGUGUCUUCGGGAAUGUACGCAUUAUAAAGGUUGUAGUGGUGUCAAUUACAGACCAGAUACCCUGACUUGCCAACUGUUGUCUGUAUCCUCACCAGCAGACCAACUUAAAUAUAGUGAAGGGUUUUCAUUUGCUUACUUAGACAAUCAUACUGUGGAUGGAGAUAGUUGUCUGCCUACGAAUCCUUGUAAAGAACGUGAAAGGUGUGUUCCAUUGAAUAUGAAUGGACACGUUUGCCUAUCAUAUCGAGCACCAUGCGAUGCGCAGCCUUGUACAAACGGAGGCAUAUGUCGUAACCAGGUGAACAGCUAUUUAUGUACGUGUCCGGAUGAAUGGACUGGUCC